UUAUAUGGUCAAGAAGAGAAGCGCAAACGGUGGAUGCCUUGGCAGUAAGAGGCGAAGAAGGACGUGGAAUCCUGCGAAAAGCUAUGGGGAGCUGGAAACGAGCGUUGAGCCAUAGAUGUCCGAAUGGGGGAACCCGGCUGCAGCGAUGCGGUCAUUUGCAUUUGAAUACAUAGGAUGCAAAGGCGAACUCGGGGAACUGAAACAUCUAAGUACCCGAAGGAAAAGAAAUCAAGAGAGAUUCUCCAAGUAGCGGCGAGCGAACGGGGAGGAGCCUGGCGUGAUUUAUUAUUGAACUGAGUAGAACAAUUUGGGAAAGUUGGCCGAAGAGGGUGAAAGCCCCGUAUACGAAGGUUUGAUGAGGAACUAGGCACGCGA
This 375-nucleotide ribosomal RNA is filed under the name Legionella pneumophila. RNAcentral describes it as "partial 23S ribosomal RNA". It matches the Rfam family "Bacterial large subunit ribosomal RNA", at positions 1 to 411 of the family's 2925-position model. The record is from RNAcentral. Lineage: Bacteria; Pseudomonadati; Pseudomonadota; Gammaproteobacteria; Legionellales; Legionellaceae.